This 816-nucleotide ribosomal RNA is filed under the name Penicillium glabrum. Its description in RNAcentral is "eukaryotic LSU rRNA". It matches the Rfam family "Eukaryotic large subunit ribosomal RNA", at positions 90 to 925 of the family's 3401-position model. The record is from RNAcentral. Lineage: Eukaryota; Fungi; Ascomycota; Eurotiomycetes; Eurotiales; Aspergillaceae.
CGAGUGAAGCGGUAAGAGCUCAAAUUUGAAAGCUGGCUCCUUCGGGGUCCGCAUUGUAAUUUGCAGAGGAUGUUUCGGGAGCAGCCCCCAUCUAAGUGUCCUGGAACGGACCGUCAUAGAGGGUGAGAAUCCCGUAUGGGAUGGGGUGUCUGCGCCCAUGUGAAACUCCUUCGACGAGUCGAGUUGUUUGGGAAUGCAGCUCUAAAUGGGUGGUAAAUUUCAUCUAAAGCUAAAUAUUGGCCGGAGACCGAUAGCGCACAAGUAGAGUGAUCGAAAGAUGAAAAGCACUUUGAAAAGAGAGUUAAAAAGCACGUGAAAUUGUUGAAAGGGAAGCGCUUGCGAUCAGACUCGCCUUGGGGGUUCAGCCGGCAUUCGUGCCGGUGUACUUCCCCCAGGGCGGGCCAGCGUCGGUUUGGGUGGCCGGUCAAAGGCCCUUGGAAUGUAACGCCUCUCGGGGCGUCUUAUAGCCAAGGGUGCCAUGCGGCCUACCUGGACCGAGGAACGCGCUUCGGCUCGGACGCUGGCAUAAUGGUCGUAAGCGACCCGUCUUGAAACACGGACCAAGGAGUCUAACAUCUACGCGAGUGUUCGGGUGUCAAACCCGUGCGCGCAGUGAAAGCGAACGGAGGUGGGAACCCUUUGGGUGCACCAUCGACCGAUCCUGAUGUCUUCGGAUGGAUUUGAGUAAGAGCGUAGCUGUUGGGACCCGAAAGAUGGUGAACUAUGCCUGAAUAGGGCGAAGCCAGAGGAAACUCUGGUGGAGGCUCGCAGCGGUUCUGACGUGCAAAUCGAUCGUCGAAUUUGGGUAUAGGGGCG